GUGAGGAAUAUUGGUCAAUGGGCGCGAGCCUGAACCAGCCAUCCCGCGUGAAGGAAGAAGGCCCUACGGGUUGUAAACUUCUUUUCUGUUUGAAGAAUAAGCUCGUCGAGACGAGUGAUGCCGGUAGGACAGGAAUAAGCAUCGGCUAACUCCGUGCCAGCAGCCGCGGUAAUACGGAGGAUGCAAGCGUUAUCCGGAUUUAUUGGGUUUAAAGGGUGCGCAGGUGGUUUAAUAAGUCAGUGGUGAAAGUCUGGCGCUUAACGUUAGGAUUGCCAUUGAUACUGUUAGACUUGAAUAUGGAUGAGGUAGGCGGAAUGUGUAGUGUAGCGGUGAAAUGCUUAGAUAUUACACAGAACACCGAUUGCGAAGGCAGCUUACUAAUCCAUUAUUGACGCUGAGGCACGAAAGCGUGGGGAUCAAACAGGAUUAGAUACCCUAGUAGUCC
Molecule: ribosomal RNA, 445 nt
Filed under: uncultured bacterium
Lineage: Bacteria
Description: partial 16S ribosomal RNA
Rfam family: Bacterial small subunit ribosomal RNA
Source: RNAcentral